AGACACACAGCUCCUGUCCGGGGAAGCUCUGACUCUGAGGGCGGGACCUUGCACCUACCCCAGGGAGCCCAGAGCCUGAGGGGAGACGCUAUCUCAGCCCUGCCCUGUUCCUUCCUUUUGGACUAAUGGCUGAGUGACCCAACUGGAUUUCCUUGGCUUGAACCUGAGCAAGCCCUCUCUCUCUAAAGACUUGAAUGCCUACUCCCUUCACUGAGUGGUUUCUUCUGUUCCUGGCCAACUCAGUGAGAAAGCAAUCAUCUGCAAGCUGGGAAGAGAGCCCUCAUUGGAACUCAACC
Long non-coding RNA from Mandrillus leucophaeus (drill), 296 nucleotides. RefSeq lists it as uncharacterized. The record is from RefSeq and is a predicted model, not a curated record. NCBI's taxonomy places the organism in Eukaryota, Metazoa, Chordata, Mammalia, Primates, Cercopithecidae. The transcript is spliced from 3 exons.